This 636-nucleotide ribosomal RNA is filed under the name Kockovaella vietnamensis. RNAcentral's name for it is "LSU rRNA". It matches the Rfam family "Eukaryotic large subunit ribosomal RNA", at positions 44 to 664 of the family's 3401-position model. Lineage: Eukaryota; Fungi; Basidiomycota; Tremellomycetes; Tremellales; Cuniculitremaceae. The record is from RNAcentral.
UCAUAAGCGGAGGAAAAGAAACUAACAAGGAUUCCCCUAGUAACGGCGAGUGAACAGGGAAGAGCUCAAAUUUGUAAUCUGGCGUCCCUUGGGCGUCCGAAUUGUAAUCUAUAGAAGCGUUUUCCGUGCUGGACCAUGUCCAAGUCCCUUGGAACAGGGUAUCAAAGAGGGUGACAAUCCCGUGCUUGACAUGACGACCAGUGCUCUGUGAUACGCUCUCUACGAGUCGAGUUGUUUGGGAAUGCAGCUCAAAAUGGGUGGUGAGUUCCAUCUAAAGCUAAAUAUUGGCGAGAGACCGAUAGCGAACAAGUACCGUGAGGGAAAGAUGAAAAGCACUUUGGAAAGAGAGUUAAACAGUACGUGAAAUUGUUGAAAGGGAAACGAUUGAAGUCAGUCGUGUCCGAGAGGUUCAGCCGGUCAUGCCGGUGUAUUCCCCUCGGAUGGGUCAACGUCAGUUUGGACCGGUGGAAAAGGGCGGUUGGAAUGUGGCAGCUCCGGCUGUGUUAUAGCCUUCCGUCGCACACGCCGGUCUAGACUGAGGAAUGCAGCUCGCCUUUAUGGCUGGGGUUCUCCCACAUUCGAGCUUAGGAUGUUGACAUAAUGGCUUUAAACGACCCGUCUUGAAACACGGGACCA